Molecule: ribosomal RNA, 492 nt
Filed under: uncultured bacterium
Lineage: Bacteria
Description: partial 16S ribosomal RNA
Rfam family: Bacterial small subunit ribosomal RNA
Source: RNAcentral
AUUGAACGCUGGCGGCAUGCUUUACACAUGCAAGUCGAACGGUAACAGGUUAAGCUGACGAGUGGCGAACGGGUGAGUAAUGCAUCGGAACGUGCCCGGUCGUGGGGGAUAACGCAGCGAAAGCUGCGCUAAUACCGCAUACGAUCUAAGGAUGAAAGCGGGGGACCGUAAGGCCUCGCGCGAUCGGAGCGGCCGAUGUCAGAUUAGGUAGUUGGUGGGGUAAAGGCUCACCAAGCCAACGAUCUGUAGCUGGUCUGAGGGGACGACCAGCCACACUGGGACUGGGACACGGCCCAGACUCCUACGGGAGGCAGCAGUGGGGAAUUUUGGACAAUGGGCGAAAGCCUGAUCCAGCAAUGCCGCGUGCAGGAAGAAGGCCUUCGGGUUGUAAACUGCUUUUGUACGGAGCGAAAAGGUCUCCUCUAAUACAGGGGGCUCAUGACGGUACCGUAAGAAUAAGCACCGGCUAACUACGUGCCAGCCGCCGCGUAA